This is a long non-coding RNA of Pundamilia nyererei, 1853 nucleotides long. RefSeq lists it as uncharacterized. The record is from RefSeq and is a predicted model, not a curated record. The transcript has 2 exons. NCBI's taxonomy places the organism in Eukaryota, Metazoa, Chordata, Actinopteri, Cichliformes, Cichlidae.
CGGACUCUCUGUGUCAGACUGCCUGAGCUCGCAGGUCGUCAGCAGAGUCUGAACUUAAAUGUAAACAAACCCGGCUCCUCUCCGACCCUCUGUAGGUCUCCCCCAGUCUUCAUCGUCAGCUCCAUCUCCCAGUGAGCUCGGGUCCAUUGCUAUAGCAACGGGUUGCCAUGGGCAACGAGACACAGCCAGCACCAGUCAGCAUCCUCCUCCUCCUCGCAGUUGUUGUGAGAGGCAGGCAGGCAGAGGGGAGAGAAGGCGCGGCGCGUGCAGAGCAGCAGAGACGAGAGGAGAAGAAAGACGUUUUCCUCUCCCUGCCACUGGAAUAAAACCCAAAAAGCAAAAUAAAGACAUCAGCAUCCAGUCAGACGCCUGCAUUCUGCUGUCUGCGUCUCGGAGUGCAACAAGAGGAUGGCAACAACUUGUUCAUGCAGGAAAGUGUCUGUUCAGUGCAGGCGGUGACCCCGACGCCAAACCUGCUGCCGCCAAGCAAGAGUGCGCCGACAUCACCUGCUGCCGCUGCAGGGCAUUUCAGACGCUGACCUCGUGACUCAAAGAUGAUCAUCUCCUCUGGACCGAGAAGGAGAAUCAGCUUCUGAAGCCACCAAACAUUUCUCACCUCAGCAUGGCAGACGACCUCUACAGCAGCACCUUCUCAGCUUCGGAAUCAGACUUCUCCUCAUCGUCUUCAUCCUCAGCUUCAGCCGCCUUCCUCACACUCGAGCAAAGGGCGGCCUUCAUUUUCGUCCUCAUCCUCUUCAUCUUCUUGGGCCUCCUGAUCGUCCGUUGUUUCCGUAUCCUCCUGGACCCGUAUCGGAGCAUGCCCUCCUCCACCUGGACCGACUACAUGGAGAAGGACACCUUUGAUUAUCGGAUUUCCUGACAGGCAGCCUGAGAGGCAGCAACCCUGACAAACGACAGUUAAACUGAGGCGACGAUCACGCUAAGCAGGUGAAGCACAAACACAGGUGCACAUUUUCCCACAAGGCGGAGAGAAACCAGACGACAGGCCACAGGGUUAAAUAUGCCUCUGUGACACUUUGUUGGUGUAUAAAGUUUAUUUAUUCUACAGAAAGUUGGUGAAAAGUUCGAGCAGAAAAGGCGAGCUCCAAGUUUAAUAAAAACACGACUUUCCAAAUCACUGAAUAACUUUGAUGAUGUGAGCAGCUGUGGUUUGCUUCCACAGCCACUUUAGUCUGAUGUUAGGCCUCUUACCUGGUACUGCUGAGGCGUUGUUGUUAUAUAUGAAGUGUGGCAGGUGGGAAAAGGAAACGUGCGCUCUGUGUUUCUAUAGCUUCCGGUCUGAUUGUCGCCUCAGUCUGCCCGGCAGGCAGCACAUCUGGGUAAAAAUCGGCAUUUGUCUCAAAUCAAUCAGUGUAAUUGGAAAUGUGUGAAAGUAUUGAAGACAUGCAAAGUCCUCAGAUAUGAACAAACAGCUCAUGCAGAUCAAUUUGCACGUUUGGAGUUCUGAUUGGUUUGAGAUGUGCAGGUGCCAUUUUUGCUCAGAAGCCACCAACGUUUAGAAAUCCCUGCGCUCCGAGUGUUACAGGUGACCGAUUUCUACAAGCAGCGAGCUGCCUGCCGGGCAGCGUGUCAGGGCUGCCGUCUCUCAUGGAGAAGACAGUCUUUUUGGUUUUUCUUUUACUUUUUGUUCUCUUUCUGAACUUUUAUUGACUCAGACUCAAAGAACUUACUCUGACAGCUGCUGAAGCUCACUGAGGACACGCAGCCUUAUUUGGAGGAGGAGGCUCUGCUGAUGAGUCUGCAGAGCCGAGAUGUUUCCAACAUCUCUCCAUCGUCCUCCUGCCGGGCUGUUGCUUAGUAACCAGUGAUGUCUGCAGCCAAAACACAGAAAA